This 2552-nucleotide long non-coding RNA is filed under the name Triticum aestivum (bread wheat). Its description in RNAcentral is "long non-coding RNA (TAES_LNC004314)". The record is from RNAcentral. Lineage: Eukaryota; Viridiplantae; Streptophyta; Magnoliopsida; Poales; Poaceae.
UUCCAAAACAAUGUUGCCAUGGCUGUUUUGAAUAGUGCCGCUUCGUGCUUCUCGAGUCCAUCGCUUCAAAAUAUAGUGGCUUGUAAGAUACUUAAUAUUCAUGACAUCAAGGGUUUUCAAAGCAUGACUACACAAUAUACCAACUCUUUCAAAUUGACCACAGCUACAUAGAACUUUUUGCUCUUCAUCAACUAGAACUUUGCAUUCUUCUUCAUAAGAGCAUUCUGGGUUAAGAUUGGCAAUUGCAACAGUAUAUACAUUGUGUUCCUCCGAUGGCUUCAUGUGUGCUGAGAUGGAUCUCUAUAUUCAUUCUGAAAAUCUUCAAAUAUGUGAGGUGUGUAAACUUUGCUUGCUUGUAUUACUGUAGAAGUUCUUAUUCUAACUCUAGGUAAGUUUUUCCUAGACUCAUAUUCCUCAUUUACCUCUUUAUCUCUCUUUCCUUGCACAACCCUCUCUACGUGCUUGAAAAAAAAAGAAUGUCAAGAUCAGACUUCAAAUGGUCUUUCAAGUCACUAUUCAAGCUCUCACUUAAUUGUGUGCUUCUCAUGCCUAUAGUGUAAGCAUUCCUCAUGUAACAUCUUGCCCAUUUCUCUUUUACUUUAUAGAUACUGUCCAACCAAGUCUGUGUAUCCACAUUGAUUCUUAUGGCAGUGAAAGCUUCUUCAAAGUCUUCCUCUUCCUCGUACUUGUACAUGCAAGCACUAAAAUCAGCAAGUACAUUUGGGCCAUCCUCGUCUUUUUCUUAUGAGGUAAAUGUUUGAUGGCAUUUUGCAUUAUGUGAAAAGUGCACAAUCCAUGCCAUGCUUCUGUAAAUACCGCCCGAAUUGCAUUACCCAUUGCUACGUCCUGGUCAGUAAAGAUAGUUCUAGGCUGCUUUUUGUUAUGUAGGAAAGUGUUGAACAACCAUCUGAAGGAUUCAAAUGUCUCGUUGUAUAGAAGUGCAGCACCAAAAAUGACCAUUUCUCUAAAAUGGUUGAAGCCAACAAAUACACCAAAGGGUCUGUACUCUGUACUUGUCCCAAAUGUAGUAUCAAACGUAACAACAUCACCGAAGUGAGCAUAGUCAAUGAUCAUCUUCGCAUCAGCCCAGAAGAUAUUUGCUAUUUGUUCAUCACAAUUGUGUUGUACGUCAUAUACAAAUGCAGGAUUCUUGUUUUUUUAUCUCGAAAGUACUUGAGCAUACUUCCAGCUUCACCAUACAUCAACUCCCUUUGACGCUUGGUUCGCAAAUAGUUCUUGUGAUCACGAGGUGUGUAGGUAAGCUUUGAUGACCCACCAACUUGCCGACUUGCCAACUCAUGGGCUGCUUUUGGUACAAUUCCUUAAUCAUCUGCAGUUUCAAUGUCAAAAUCUUGCAAGGUCGAUAUCUUCCGCUGUGAUGGCAUCAAGUGACAUGUUCCACACAAUUGCAAGACAUGGUUGUGUUCAGUGACUAACUCGUGUACUUCGUAAUUUCAUGUUUCUCGGUCGAUGGUGAUUCCCAUUCGAACUUUACAACCAGCCCUUGUUUCUGCACGAGGACGCUUGGUGUUGUGAUCUCUUUUGUCUAUUCUUCUGUAGCCCUCAUUGGAACAAAUGUAUCUCGCGGAAGUGAUUGCCCCAUCAAGUUUGCUCUUAUUUUCAUAAUUUACCCUUACGUCAAAACCAAUAUGACCUCCAUAACAAGUCCAAAAGCCCCAAGCCUCUUUUGUGGAAUUAAAUUUCAUACCAUUUUGAGGCAUCCAACUAGGAAUCAUAUUUCUCCUGUAAAAAGUAGGCAUAUCUUAAUUUAUUUGUCUAGUUACACUACAAGAAUACGAUGAUAUGGCCUGAGAAUUUUUAAAAAAUUGAGUGUACAUGUUUGAAUCUUUGUUGGAGUUGGUCAUAUUCUGCAUUACACCUUCUCGUUUCCUUUUUUGUAAUCUGUGAUAGCAUAGCAAACUCAGUCUAUACGAAUUCUCUUGCUACCUUGAGAACAUGAAUACAAUUAGAGCAUAUGUUACAUACCUCAAAAUUGAUCGUCUUUUUUUUGCUAGGAGAAGGAAGAGGCAAAACGGAGAUCAUCUACAUUAAUCUCCUGUCAAGUAUUGGAAAUUCCAAGUAUUUCAUGAGCAAAGCACCUAUGGUACAACUUGCAUCUAUAGAUCUAACUACAUUCAUGUAUUUUAUCUUGAGAUUAUUCAAAACAACAGAGAUCACUUCUGUUAGCAAAGCACCUAUGGUACAACUUGCAUGUACAGGUCUGACUACAUUCAUGUAUUUUAUCUUGAGCUAUUUAGAACAAUAGAGAUCACUUCUGUUCAAAUAUACUUUUUCACUGUAACAUCAUCCAAAAGGUGCAGGAAUAAAUUUUGGAUCUCCUUCCUUCCUUAAUACUUCUGAUUUUCUACUAGUUGUUUGGAGGGUUCGACUCCUCAGCAAUUUAGCUGCUGAAUUUAUAAAAAUUAAUGUUACAUGUUUGAAACUUCGUCGCCGUUAAUUAUAUUCUCCACUAAACCUUGUCUUUUUUUGUAAUCUAUGAUCAUAUAGCAAAAUCAGUCUAGGAAUUCUCUUGUUGCCUUGAGAACAUGAAU